AAUUCUUGACUGAGGGUGCAGGGUGAUGAAGUGGGGGAUUUGAAUCUAGGGCUAUGAUACCAGAGUGUCAGCACAGGUGACAAUACUACAAGCUCCCGAGAUAAUUUGAGAAUUCGAAUGGAUUCUUGUGAUCAGCACCAAGGACAGCACCGCCCCACAGGAGGAACCCAAUAAGUGCAGAUGAGGGAGUGGAGGCCGAGUUAAUUUCCUCAGCUAUGAAACAGGAGUAAGAGCACUACCAAAUUCUCGUGCUCAUUACGAGAACUUAAAUAGAUGUCAAGGUCCUGCACCAAAGGCAGUGCUUGGCCAAGUUCAGCUGGCAAGGACGUGAGUGAGACAGGAUUCAAAUGCAGACAACUCCGAUGUCCAAACACGCGCACCCCGCCUUACAGCCCUGGCCUUGGCUCUGUGUGCAGCUGCAGGAAAACCACCCAAGCUGACCUGGUCUCAGUCCCCCUUCUGUGAAAUGGAGACAACACUUUAUCCCUGCUGCUCCCUGGGUGUGGGAGACCCCGUAAUGAGAUGGAAGUGAUAAAGCAUUUUGCAAAAGAACAGAGUCCUCAGCCGAGGUGACCAAGUGUCAUUAUGAUGAAGAUGUUUGUAAUUAUUAUCAUUCUGCUUCUUCCCUACUUCCUUUGCUACCCUGCUGGGCCUGGGGAUACCCUAGGUUCACAUUUAGUUUCUCAAAUAUUUAUAAAAAAUGAGUCCUACCCCCUGCUGCUGCCAGCACUGCACAGAAUGCUUUCUAUUAAAAAUUCAAAACCACUUGUCGAGUCCCGGGAGCACUCAGAUUACACAGGAAACAAGCCCUUUCUCAAACUCCAGCCUCCCUGUUCCCUCCCCAAUUCCUUCUUCCAUCGUCACUUAUAAUCACGGCUUGCUAGGCUGGUCUUGACCUUGCUUCCCACCACCCUGACCACGGCAGCCUAACAUAGACGAAUGAUACACAGGAGACACAGGAAAGAGUGUGUGUGUGUGUGUGUGUG
Molecule: long non-coding RNA, 986 nt
Organism: Heterocephalus glaber (naked mole-rat)
Lineage: Eukaryota; Metazoa; Chordata; Mammalia; Rodentia; Bathyergidae
Source: RefSeq, a predicted model, not a curated record